GAUGAACGCUGGCGGCGUGCCUAAUACAUGCAAGUCGAGCGAACAGACGAGGAGCUUGCUCCUCUGACGUUAGCGGCGGACGGGUGAGUAACACGUGGAUAACCUACCUAUAAGACUGGGAUAACUUCGGGAAACCGGAGCUAAUACCGGAUAAUAUAUUGAACCGCAUGGUUCAAUAGUGAAAGACGGUUUUGCUGUCACUUAUAGAUGGAUCCGCGCCGCAUUAGCUAGUUGGUAAGGUAACGGCUUACCAAGGCGACGAUGCGUAGCCGACCUGAGAGAGUGAUCGGCCACACGAGAACUGAGACACGGUCCAGACUCCUACGGGAGGCAGCAGUAGGGAAUCUUCCGCAAUGGUCGAAAGCCUGACGGAGCAACGCCGCGUGAGUGAUGAAGGUCUUCGGAUCGUAAAACUCUGUUAUUAGGGAAGAACAAAUGUGUAAGUAACUAUGCACGUCUUGACGGUACCUAAUCAGAAAGCCACGGCUAACUACGUG
RNAcentral lists this ribosomal RNA (497 nucleotides) under uncultured bacterium. RNAcentral's name for it is "partial 16S ribosomal RNA". It matches the Rfam family "Bacterial small subunit ribosomal RNA", at positions 28 to 507 of the family's 1533-position model. The record is from RNAcentral.